UACGGGGGGAGCAAGCGUUGUUCGGAAUUACUGGGCGUAAAGGGCGCGUAGGCGGCCUUCUAAGUCGGACGUGAAAUCCCUCGGCUUAACCGAGGAACUGCGUCCGAUACUGAAAGGCUUGAAUCCGGGAGAGGGAUGUGGAAUUCCAGGUGUAGCGGUGAAAUGCGUAGAUAUCUGGAGGAACACCGGUGGCGAAGGCGGCAUCCUGGACCGGUAUUGACGCUGAGGCGCGAAAGCUAGGGGAGCAAACGGG
This 253-nucleotide ribosomal RNA is filed under the name uncultured bacterium. Its description in RNAcentral is "partial 16S ribosomal RNA". It matches the Rfam family "Bacterial small subunit ribosomal RNA", at positions 524 to 776 of the family's 1533-position model. The record is from RNAcentral.